Molecule: transfer RNA, 66 nt
Filed under: Cordylochernes scorpioides
Lineage: Eukaryota; Metazoa; Arthropoda; Arachnida; Pseudoscorpiones; Chernetidae
Description: tRNA-Gly
Source: RNAcentral
UGCAUCUGCCGGGAAUCGAACCCGGGCCGCCCGCGUGGCAGGCGCGCAUUCUACCACUGAACCAUC